UACGUAGGGUGCAAGCGUUGUCCGGAAUUAUUGGGCGUAAAGAGCUCGUAGGCGGUUUGUCGCGUCUGCUGUGAAAACUCGGGGCUUAACUCCGGGCCUGCAGUGGGUACGGGCAGACUAGAGUGCGGUAGGGGAGACUGGAAUUCCUGGUGUAGCGGUGAAAUGCGCAGAUAUCAGGAGGAACACCGGUGGCGAAGGCGGGUCUCUGGGCCGUAACUGACGUUGAGGCGCGAAAGCUAGGGGAGCAAACGGG
Molecule: ribosomal RNA, 253 nt
Filed under: uncultured bacterium
Lineage: Bacteria
Description: partial 16S ribosomal RNA
Rfam family: Bacterial small subunit ribosomal RNA
Source: RNAcentral